AUGGAAGGGCCCCGGAAGAAGGUGGGGCCCUGGGCUGCAGGAGUGCAGCGUGGCCAGAGCCCAGUGUGCACUGGGGCGGUGGGGGGAGGUUGUGAAGGCCCUUGGAAGCAUCUUAUCUGGGGAUGGAGAGCUGCUGCCGUCUGGAGUGACGCUGUCAGAUUUGCCGUUGGAAGGACGGAGCCCUGGAGGACCGUGCUCGACAAGACUCCUCAUGAAAAAGAGGAAGGUGGAUCUCCCUACCCCACCCCCAGGAGCUUUCCCGAGACAGGACCCCCUUCCAGGAGCCAGGGGUGAACACUCUGCUGUGAGUCUGGGAGCAGCAUUUGUCGGUGAAGUAAUUUAAUCCGUGCUGGCCAGGACAAUACUGAGGCGGAGGGGCUAACUCAGUAGCCAUCAAAGUGGUCCCAGACGGGGUGGGAUGUGCAAUGGCCUUGGGGCAUCAGUGGCUCAGAAAGAGGACAGUGAGGUGGGGAUCGCCCUGCCUGGAGGGGGGCUCGCUCUCGGGAGGGACACACCAGCCUUUCUGCUGUGGACACCCGUGUUGCCUCUUCUUUGCAGGAUGGCUCAGCCCAGUGAGGCCUCUUUGCUGUGUCGGUGGUCUCUGGUUAGACCCCUUAACAGCUCCCGAUACCUCCAGGAGAAUUUCUAAGUUGUUGGCCUGAUGUGAACCCCGCAUGAAUGUUCACACUCCCAUGUGAGCCUGCCGCCUGUUGGUGCUGGCGCCCUGCCCUGCCCUGCGGGUCUGCCCUUGUUCCCGGUCCCCACGUUGGAACAGCAGGGAGCACCCCUGUGGCUGGACUCCUGCGCCUCUGGCAACUUCCUGCCAACCCCCGCCUUAGUUUUUAGGGCACCUUUGGCCUCUGCCGUUGCCCGCUGAAGGGCAGGUGCUGUGCGCUCCCACUGCACCCAGGACAACGCGCUGCCCCAAGAAGGUUCUCGCCUACCGUGAGUUGAAAAGACAAGACCGUUUAGUUGCUUGGACGCUUUUCUCUGCUAGAAUGAGAUGUGUCUUAAGGGGAACUGGCCUGAGGGCAGGCUUGCUUCUACAGAUGGUCUCACCAGGAGGAACACGGACGGUCACCAGCAGUGGGCUGCGGUCAGUGGAGUGUGGCUGGUGGGUGCGCCUCUCAGAGGGGAGGAAAAUGGAGCGAGACCCCGAGACGGAGGCAGAUGGGCCGAGCUCAAGGGUGACGCGUGAGGGGCCAGUCCACCCCUUCCUUCAGUUUAGGGAGGUGUGAAUAUCUGAGGGGCCGUGGGAGGAGAGGAGGAUGGAAGGAGAAAGACCUGGUCUGGGAAGGCAGGCCCGCACCACCCUGGGAGACACAGGCCGGGCUGGGUGCCCCCUCCUCCUGGCGC
This 1356-nucleotide long non-coding RNA is filed under the name Capra hircus (goat). RNAcentral describes it as "lncRNA (ENSCHIG00000007196.1)". Lineage: Eukaryota; Metazoa; Chordata; Mammalia; Artiodactyla; Bovidae. The record is from RNAcentral.